GGGCUGAUGAGCUCAGUCAGUUGAGCAUAGCGCUAACAACGCUAAGGUCACGGAUUCGAUUCCCAUUCAGUCCC
Apaloderma vittatum (bar-tailed trogon) is the source of this 74-nucleotide non-coding RNA. The record is from Rfam. Lineage: Eukaryota; Metazoa; Chordata; Aves; Trogoniformes; Trogonidae.